UCUGGAAUCUGGUAUCGAAUCCGGAGGGCACGUAUUUCAGAUUCUGUGACGGUGGAUGCAAUGUUCGCAUGAGGAAAUUGUUCCCCAUCCUUGAAGAAAUCAGUAGGAAAUGGGGGAUUUGAACUCGAACCCUCUUGGUUAGGGUUUGAGUGGGAGAAAACUGGAGAAGUCUGGUUUGGAUUCACCAUUGUUGAGGUUUCGAAAGCUAGAGAGAGAAUUUUUGAGAAGGAGAAGAAAGCUCAAAGGUUCGAAUUUCAAAUUAGC
This 264-nucleotide long non-coding RNA is filed under the name Panax ginseng (ginseng). Its description in RNAcentral is "long non-coding RNA (PGIN_LNC012697)". The record is from RNAcentral. Lineage: Eukaryota; Viridiplantae; Streptophyta; Magnoliopsida; Apiales; Araliaceae.